AUUGCGCUCUCAAUUCAACAGGUGGAAGAUCAAUAAUCCUACAAAAUUUUGUUGAAAUACAUGCAUUCAAUUAUGGUUUUAUUGGGAGAUGAGGAGGGAACGGUUUUGGAAGAUGAGGGGUUUUGGAGGUUGGGAGAUGAGAGGGAAUAGUUUUGUGCAAUUAUAUGCAUUCAAUUGUGGUUUUAUUGGGAGAUAAGGAGGGAACGGUUUUGAAGAUGAGGGGUUUUAGAGGUUGGGAGAUGAAAGAGAGCAGUUUUGAAAUAUAUAUAUAUAUAUAUAUAUAUAUAUAUAUAUAUAUAUAUAGCUAGUCUUCUAUACUAUCUAUGGUACCGGGGCUCCGGUACUAUAGUCUCGUUUUCGAUCUUAGGGUGUUCAAAUCAACGAUCCAUACAGUUAAAACUGAUCUAAGGUACGUAUUUAAAGUUUUUAGAAAUAAAAUUUUAUAUUUUUUUUGAUAUAGUUACUUUAUGAUCAAACCAAUUCAAAAUUGUCAACUUUCAAUGGCUACUAUGGCGAGUUUGGAGUUUAACGGUGUAAAAGAAUCUAAUUUUUUUCAAAUUUUGAUAGAAAAUACUUUAAACUAUCUAGAUUAAGGUUAACAUUCUUGAUCUUGAAUUUAAAAGUCCUAUACUCAAAUUUUAAAAAUUAUUCAAUUUUCACCGUCCAUUUUGACAUAAUUCAUUUACUAAGUAAAUGAUGUCGAAAAAAACUAAAAUUUUAUUUCUAAAAAACUUCAUAUAUCCUAGAUUAUAUUUAACGAUGUGGAUCGUUAAUUUGAACACCCUUAAAUCGAAAACAACACUAUAGUAUGAGAGCUCCGGUACUGUAGAUAGUAUAGUAGCCUAAUUCUAUAUAUAUA
Molecule: long non-coding RNA, 859 nt
Filed under: Ananas comosus (pineapple)
Lineage: Eukaryota; Viridiplantae; Streptophyta; Magnoliopsida; Poales; Bromeliaceae
Description: long non-coding RNA (ACOM_LNC007871)
Source: RNAcentral